This 492-nucleotide ribosomal RNA is filed under the name uncultured bacterium. RNAcentral's name for it is "partial 16S ribosomal RNA". It matches the Rfam family "Bacterial small subunit ribosomal RNA", at positions 29 to 507 of the family's 1533-position model. The record is from RNAcentral.
AUUGAACGCUGGCGGCAUGCUUUACACAUGCAAGUCGAACGGUAACAGGCCUUCGGGUGCUGACGAGUGGCGAACGGGUGAGUAAUGCAUCGGAACGUACCCAGAGGUGGGGGAUAACGCAGCGAAAGCUGUGCUAAUACCGCAUGUGAUCUGAGGAUGAAAGCGGGGGACCGAGCAGCAAUGUUUGGCCUCGCGCCUUUGGAGCGGCCGAUGUCGGAUUAGCUAGUUGGUGGGGUAAAGGCCUACCAAGGCGACGAUCCGUAGCUGGUCUGAGAGGACGACCAGCCACACUGGGACUGAGACACGGCCAAGAGUCCUACGGGAGGCAGCAGAGGGGAAUUUUGGACAAUGGGCGCAAGCCUGAUCCAGCAAUGCCGCGUGCGGGAAGAGGGCCUUCGGGUUGUAAACCGCUUUUGGCAGGAACGAAACGGUGUCCGCUAAUACCGGGCGCUAAUGACGGUACCUGCAGAAUAAGCACCGGCUAACUACGUG